GCAUGGUCGCGGGUUGAAAAGGGUUUUCUGGGAUAGGGAUGGGCUCCGGCCUAUCAGCCUUGUUGUGGGGUGUAAUGGCCUACCAAAGGCGUCCGACGGUUAACCGGCNCUGAGAGGGUGACCGGCCACAUUUGGGACUGAGAUACGGCCCAGACUCCUACGGGAGGCAGCAUGGGGAAUAUUGCACAAUGGACGCAAGUCUGAUGCAGCGACGCCGCGUGGGGGAUGAAGGCUUUCGGGUUGUAAACUCCUUUCAGUACAGAACAAGGCCUUUUUGGUUGAGGGUAUGUGCAGAAGAAGCGCCGGCUAACUACGUGCCAGCAGCCGCGGUAAUACGUAGGGCGCGAGCGUUGUCCGGAAUUAUUGGGCGUAAAGAGCUCGUAGGCGGUUUGUUGCGCCUGCUGUGAAAGACCGGGGCUUAACUUCGGGGUUGCAGUGGGUACGGGCAGACUAGAGUGUGGUAGGGGUAAUUGGAAUUCCUGGUGUAGCCGGUGGAAUGCGCAGAUAUCAGGAGGAACACCGAUGGCGAAGGCAGGUUACUGGGCCACCACUGACGCUGAGGAGCGAAAGCGUGGGUAGCGAACAGGAUUAGAUACCCUGGUAGUCCACGCCGUAAACGUUGGGCACUAGGUGUGGGGCCUUUUCCACGGGUUCUGCGCCGUAGCUAGCGCAUUAAGUGCCCCGCCUGGAGAGUACG
RNAcentral lists this ribosomal RNA (697 nucleotides) under uncultured Actinomycetes bacterium. Its description in RNAcentral is "bacterial SSU rRNA". It matches the Rfam family "Bacterial small subunit ribosomal RNA", at positions 188 to 884 of the family's 1533-position model. The record is from RNAcentral. Lineage: Bacteria; Bacillati; Actinomycetota; Actinomycetes.